ACAGGUGGUGCAUGGUUGUCGUCAGCUCGUGUCGUGAGAUGUUGGGUUAAGUCCCGCAACGAGCGCAACCCUUGAUCUUAGUUGCCAGCAUUCAGUUGGGCGCUCUAAGGUGACUGCCGGGUACAAACCGGAGGAAGGUGGGGAUGACGUCAAAUCAUCAUGCCCCUUAUGACCUGGGCUACACACGUGGUACAAUGGACAGAACAAAGGACAGCGAAACCGCGAAGUUAAGCUAAUCCCUAAAAUCUGUUCUCAGUUCGGAUCGCAGUCUGCAACUCGACUGCGUGAAGCUGGAAUCGCUAGUAAUCGCGGAUCAGCAUGCCGCGGUGAAUACGUUCCCGGGCCUUGUACAACCCGCCC
This 360-nucleotide ribosomal RNA is filed under the name Bacillus subtilis. Its description in RNAcentral is "bacterial SSU rRNA". It matches the Rfam family "Bacterial small subunit ribosomal RNA", at positions 1034 to 1395 of the family's 1533-position model. Lineage: Bacteria; Bacillati; Bacillota; Bacilli; Caryophanales; Bacillaceae. The record is from RNAcentral.